UGAGAGGUAGAGGCAUGAGGACCAGCCUGGGCUACAGUGCAUGAGAGGUAGAUUGAGAGGUAGAGGCAUGAGGACCAGCCUGGGCUACAGUGCAUGAGAGGUAGAGGCAUGAGGACCAGCCUGGGCUACAGUGCAUGAGAGGUAGAGGCAUGAGGACCAGCCUGGGCUACAGUGCAUGAGAGGAAGAUUGAGAGGUAAGAGGCAUGAGGGCCAGCCUGGGCUACAGUGCAUGAGUGGUAGAGGCACCAGGACCAGCCUGGGCUACUCGAGGAGAUUGACUCUUCAUGAGAAGGAAUUUCCAUUCCUUAAAAUUGA
Long non-coding RNA from Acomys russatus (golden spiny mouse), 315 nucleotides. RefSeq lists it as uncharacterized. The record is from RefSeq and is a predicted model, not a curated record. NCBI's taxonomy places the organism in Eukaryota, Metazoa, Chordata, Mammalia, Rodentia, Muridae. The transcript is spliced from 3 exons.